This 164-nucleotide ribosomal RNA is filed under the name Olearia pannosa. RNAcentral describes it as "5.8S ribosomal RNA". It matches the Rfam family "5.8S ribosomal RNA". From Rfam's summary of the family: 5.8S ribosomal RNA (5.8S rRNA) is a component of the large subunit of the eukaryotic ribosome. It is transcribed by RNA polymerase I as part of the 45S precursor that also contains 18S and 28S rRNA. Lineage: Eukaryota; Viridiplantae; Streptophyta; Magnoliopsida; Asterales; Asteraceae. The record is from RNAcentral.
CAAACGACUCUCGGCAACGGAUAUCUCGGCUCACGCAUCGAUGAAGAACGUAGCAAAAUGCGAUACUUGGUGUGAAUUGCAGAAUCCCGUGAACCAUCGAGUUUUUGAACGCAAGUUGCGCCCGAAGCCUUUUGGUCGAGGGCACGUCUGCCUGGGCGUCUCGC